Molecule: non-coding RNA, 530 nt
Organism: Carica papaya (papaya)
Lineage: Eukaryota; Viridiplantae; Streptophyta; Magnoliopsida; Brassicales; Caricaceae
Source: RefSeq, a predicted model, not a curated record
CGCCAGCUCAUUAAUAAACGAUAGGUUAUUGUGUUUUGGUCAGGGUUCCUUCUUCCUCGUCUUCCCAAUCAGUCUCCCCCGAGUUUCAGACCAAACCCUAACCCUAGAAUUCGGCCAUGUCGUCUAAGCAAGGAGGGAAAAUAAAGCCUCUGAAGCAACCAAAAUCUGACAAGAAGGACUACGAUGAGCAUGACUUGGCCAACCUGCAGAAAAAGAAGGAGGAGGAGAAGGCACUCAAAGAGCUUAAGGCCAAGGCACAACAGAAGGGGUCAUUUGGAGGUACUGGGAUGAAGAAGAGUGGGAAGAAAUGAGGGUUUUUAGACCCAAAUUGAAUUAUAGAAUUUCAAGUUGUACUUGUUGCAAUAUGGUAAUCGGUUUCAAUUUGCAUUAACGAUAAAGAUCUUUAUGAUAUCUUUUGGUCUAUGUGAUGAUCUAGUUUCUUGCUAAAAGUGUUACCUAAACUUUGAGUUUUUAUCUCAUCAUGUUGAAUUGAAUAACAUUAGUUCCAUGUUUGUGUUUAUGGUGUGCUA